This 250-nucleotide ribosomal RNA is filed under the name uncultured bacterium. RNAcentral's name for it is "partial 16S ribosomal RNA". It matches the Rfam family "Bacterial small subunit ribosomal RNA", at positions 524 to 773 of the family's 1533-position model. The record is from RNAcentral.
UACGAAGGGGGCGAGCGUUGUUCGGAUUUACUGGGCGUAAAGGGCGCGCAGGCGGUCUUGAAAGUCAGGCGUGAAAGCCCCGGGCUUAACCUGGGAAUUGCGCUUGAUACUCUGAGACUGGAGUACGGGAGAGGAGAGUGGAAUUCCCAGUGUAGAGGUGAAAUUCGUAGAUAUUGGGAAGAACACCAGUGGCGAAGGCGGCUCUCUGGACCGUAACUGACGCUGAGGCGCGAAAGCGUGGGGAGCAAAC